GACGAACGCUGGCGGCGUGCCUAAUACAUGCAAGUCGAGCGGACGUUGUUGGAGCUUGCUCCAAUAACGUUAGCGGCGGACGGGUGAGUAACACGUGGGCAACCUGCCUUAACGACUGGGAUAACUCCGGGAAACCGGGGCUAAUACCGGAUAACAUCUAGCACCUCCUGGUGCAAGAUUAAAAGAGGGCCUCUGGCUCUCACGUUAAGAUGGGCCCGCGGCGCAUUAGCUAGUUGGAGAGGUAAUGGCUCCCCAAGGCGACGAUGCGUAGCCGACCUGAGAGGGUGAUCGGCCACACUGGGACUGAGACACGGCCCAGACUCCUACGGGAGGCAGCAGUAGGGAAUCUUCCGCAAUGGACGAAAGUCUGACGGAGCAACGCCGCGUGAGUGAAGAAGGGUUUCGGCUCGUAAAGCUCUGUUAUGAGGGAAGAACACGUACCGUUCGAAUAGGGCGGUACCUUGACGGUACCUCAUCAGAAAGCCACGGCUAACUACGUGCCAGCAGCCGCGGUAA
RNAcentral lists this ribosomal RNA (516 nucleotides) under uncultured bacterium. RNAcentral describes it as "partial 16S ribosomal RNA". It matches the Rfam family "Bacterial small subunit ribosomal RNA", at positions 28 to 523 of the family's 1533-position model. The record is from RNAcentral.